This 387-nucleotide ribosomal RNA is filed under the name uncultured bacterium. RNAcentral's name for it is "partial 16S ribosomal RNA". It matches the Rfam family "Bacterial small subunit ribosomal RNA", at positions 356 to 732 of the family's 1533-position model. The record is from RNAcentral.
UGGGAAUUUUGGACGAAUUGGGCGAAAGCCUGAUCCAGCAAUGCCGCGUGUGUGAAGAAGGCCUUCGGGUUGUAAAGCACUUUUUGUCCGGAAAGAAAUCCUUGGCUCUAAUACAGUCGGGGGAUGACGGUACCGGAAGAAUAAGCACCGGCUAACUACGUGCCAGCAGCCGCGGUAAUACGUAGGGUGCAAGCGUUAAUCGGAAUUACUGGGCGUAAAGCGUGCGCAGGCGGUUUGCUAAGACCGAUGUGAAAUCCCCGGGCUCAACCUGGGAACUGCAUUGGUGACUGGCAGGCUAGAGUAUGGCAGAGGGGGGUAGAAUUCCACGUGUAGCAGUGAAAUGCGUAGAGAUGUGGAGGAAUACCGAUGGCGAAGGCAGCCCCCUGG